Molecule: non-coding RNA, 370 nt
Filed under: Ricinus communis (castor bean)
Lineage: Eukaryota; Viridiplantae; Streptophyta; Magnoliopsida; Malpighiales; Euphorbiaceae
Description: Eukaryotic large subunit ribosomal RNA
Rfam family: Eukaryotic large subunit ribosomal RNA
Source: Rfam by way of RNAcentral
UCACUAGUACGAGAGGACCGUGAUUCGCACAAUUGGUCAUCGCGCUUGGUGAAAAGCCAGUGGCGCGAAGCUACCGUGCGCUGGAUUAUGACUGAACGCCUCUAAGUCAGAAUCCGGGCCAGAAGCGACGCGUUGUCCGCCGCUCGUUUGCCGACCAGCAGUAGGGGCCCUCCGGCCCCCAAAGGCACGUGUCGUUGGCUAAGCCCUCGCGGCGGACGAGCCGCGCGGGCCGCCUUGAAUUACAAUUUCCACCGGGCGGCGGACUGAAUCCUUUGCAGACGACUUAAAUACGCGACGGGGUAUUGUAAGUGGCAGAGUGGCCUUGCUGCCACGAUCCACUGAGAUUCAGCCCUUCGUCGCUCCGAUUCGU